ACUUCGGUCUGGUGGCGAGUGGCGAACGGGUGAGUAACAUAUCGGAACGUAUCCAAUAAUGGGGGAUAACUAAUCGAAAGGUUGGCUAAUACCGCAUACGCCCUGAGGGGGAAAGCUAGGGAUCGUCAAGACCUGGCGUUAAUGGAGCGGCCGAUAUCUGAUUAGCUAGUUGGUGGGGUAAAGGCCCACCAAGGCGACGAUCAGUAGCUGGUCUGAGAGGACGACCAGCCACACUGGAACUGAGACACGGUCCAGACUCCUACGGGAGGCAGCAGUGGGGAAUUUUGGACAAUGGGCGCAAGCCUGAUCCAGCCAUUCCGCGUGAGUGAAGAAGGCCUUCGGGUUGUAAAGCUCUUUCGCAAGGGAAGAAAACUUAUCCUCUAACAUAGGAUGAGGUUGACGGUACCUUGAUAAGAAGCACCGGCUAACUACGUGCCAGCAGCCGCGGUAAUACGUAGGGUGCGAGCGUUAAUCGGAAUUACUGGGCGUAAAGCGUGCGCAGGCUGUUUUGUAAGUCAGAUGUGAAAUCCCCGAGCUCAACUUGGGAACUGCGUUUGGAACUACAAGACUAGAAUAGGUCAGAGGGGGGUAGAAUUCCACGUGUAGCAGUGAAAUGCGUAGAGAUGUGGAGGAAUAUCAAUGGCGAAGGCAGCCCCCUGGGAUCAUAUUGACGCUCAUGCACGAAAGCGUGGGGAGCAAACAGGAUUAGAUACCCUGGUAGUCCACGCCCUAAACGAUGUCUACUAGUUGUUGGUGGAGUAAAAUCCAUGAGUAACGCAGCUAACGCGUGAAGUAGACCGCCUGGGGAGUACGGUCGCAAGAUUAAAACUCAAAUGAAUUGACGGGGGCCCGCACAAGCGGUGGAUUAUGUGGAUUAAUUCG
Molecule: ribosomal RNA, 882 nt
Filed under: uncultured bacterium
Lineage: Bacteria
Description: bacterial SSU rRNA
Rfam family: Bacterial small subunit ribosomal RNA
Source: RNAcentral